Long non-coding RNA from Esox lucius (northern pike), 5427 nucleotides. NCBI's taxonomy places the organism in Eukaryota, Metazoa, Chordata, Actinopteri, Esociformes, Esocidae. The record is from Ensembl.
CAAGAUUUUAGAGACAUCUUCUGAAUAUCAGUUUAAAUUAUGGACUGAUAUACUCUAGGGGUGUAACGAUCCAUCUACUACAUCGAUGUAUCGAUAUAUAUUCCUAUGAUCCUACUACAUCGAUCUGUGCUCAGCAAGUUGGCCUUCCGGACGAUAUAUAUCGAUCUAACAUCGUUUUAAAAUGUAAUCAAUCGAUUGUAUCCAUACUAGGAAAUAACCCAUUGGAUUUAAGCACGUCAGACUUUAUAGGAAUGUUUUUUCUUAGCACUUUUAAUGAUAAAGGCGAUAAACGUUACUCGAUUCAGUCUGCCUAUCCGUGACGUCAUCGCCCCGGGCCAGCAGCAGCGCAAAGACAACAAAACAUAGCGAGGCAGAUGGCAGAGGAGAAGCCGACGAGCGAGAAAUUAUCAAGCCACCAUUGCGGUCCAGUGUGUGGAAAGUGUUGGUUGCACUUUAUUUUUGAUAUUAAUACUGUAUUUGUAUUAUUUCUAUGUUGAAAUACAACAGCAAAAGUAGCAGAUACCUGAUUCCCUUACAAGAAACAACAGGAAUCUAGGAAACUUCACCUGCACUGUCCAGUAUCCAGGUGGAAAUGUUAAAAACGGUUGAUUGUGAUUCCGCCGGAUUCAAAAGGAUACACAGGAUCCCCGAUCAAGACUGAAUCCUGUACAUUGUUCCUCUACAAGAGGACCUUGAUCUUCAUCCAGUCCCUGCACAUUCCAGAGUAUUCGAAGAAAUGCCAAAACCAACAUGUCAAAUGUGCAACCAAAACAUGCCACUACAGAUGCUGGCUCUUCAUAUCCAGGAACAGACUGAAGUUGAAUUCAUCUCUGAAAUAAAGUCCCCUUUUGCCCGUCAAAACAGCCCUGACCCAUAGAGGCAUGGAUUCCACCCGACCUCUGAAGGUGUGCUGUGGUAUCUGGAACCAAGACAUUAGGUCUUUACACAAACCUGGGGCUUUGUAGGACCUUCAGAUUCUUGUUUGUCGCGGGGAAACAUUCCUGUCAGGGGAACUGAUCAGUGUGACUGAAUGAAAACUUCCAAAUUCACACCUUCUGAGUAAUCCUGUUGCACAAUUUGUUUAACGCUAUGAAAAAACACACUUCACCAACAGCAUCUGAGCUCUGCUAAAUCAGCUGAUGUACCAUCAAUGAGAACGUGCCAAAUGACUUGCAAUUACAGCCUGUAAAUCAGCUCUUUAACAUCAUGUAUGGAUUUGGUCUCAGACUGAACCCAUGUCAGGACUGAGUCCCUGAGGUUUCCUGUGAAGCAGCGGGCCCUUUGGAAGAGCAACAUGAGUGUCUUCACCUGCAUGUCUUCUGUCAUGAAGUUCAAGGGUAUUAAUAGUUAAUAGGACGUCUGUGGGGAACUAAUAGUCUCUGUAACCCCCCAGUAAAACAUUUCUGUAAUCCCCCAGUAAAACAUUACUGUAAACCCCCAAUUAAGCAUUUCUGUAACCCCCCAGUAUAGCAUUUCUGUAAUCCUCCAAUAAAGCAUUUCUGUAAACCCCCAGUAAAACAUUUCUGUAAUCCCCCAGUAAAACAUUACUGUAAACCCCCAGUAAAACAUUUCUGUAAACCCCCAAUUAAGCAUUUCUGUAAACCCCCAGUAAAGCAUUUCUGUAAACCCCCAAUUAAGCAUUUCUGUAACCCCCCAGUAUAGCAUUUCUGUAAUCCUCCAAUAAAGCAUUUCUGUAAACCCCCAGUAAAACAUUUCUGUAAACCCCCAAUAGAGCAUUUCUGUAAUCCUCCAAUAAAGCAUUACUGUAAACCCCCAGUAAAACAUUUCUGUAAACCCUCAAUUAAGCAUUUCUGUAAACCCCCAGUAAAGCAUUUCUGUAAACCCCCACUAAAACAACACCAUUAUUCCUCACAAUUCAAGAUCACACUAUCUGGUUUUACACCAUUGAGCCAAUAAGGAGUAGCUCACACCCUUAUAACCCAAGGUAGUGACACCUGUUUUCUAAAACCCCCAGAGAUACAUUCACACUUCAGGUUUCCUACCUAGAAACUGUAUCAAAUGUCUGAGGCUUUGGGGUUUUAAAGGAUGGUUCCUAAUUUCCUAAAAAUAUAGAUGGCUGAUGAAAUAGCCCCUUAUUAUAUAUAAAGGUAUGAAACAGUAGACAUUUAGAUUUCUAUUAAGAGAUUAGUUAUACAGUGUAGCAGGCUCAGGGGUGUGGUGUUUCCAUGUCACCAAGGUCAAAAACAGCAGCACAGAAAGCAGGACCAGAAUGCAGUUGGGGUGUUUAUUAGAGGUGUUUGUACACAGUGGGGGAGAAAAUAAAGAGGAAUUCAUCAACCAAUUCACCGUCCUCAUCGUUCGUUGUCCUUUAUCCAGGUCCUCAUCCAAAACCCCCGGUCCUCAUCUAAAACCCAGGACCUCAUCCAAAACUUGUGUCCUUGUCCAAACCAGUUUGUUACACCAGUAAUCAGGCAGUCCAGGUCAUAACAGGCACUCACACAGAUCAGGCUGUCAAUACACACACUCUCCAUACCACACAUUGUCUUCCCCAAUUGGGCUGCCUGCUUCCUCCUUUAUCCCCAAGUACUCAACGGCUUAAUGAUGCUCAGACCUCCCUCGUUGGGGAAGUCCAUAGUAGGCUUGGGGGUGAAGUCUGCGGGCCACCAGAUAUCUUCCCCCAAUCACCCCUCACCAUCUCCCCACCACCUGACACAACUGUUAAGAUGUGACAACACAACAUUUAAGAUGUGACAACACAACAUUUAAAUUGUGACAACACAACAUUUAAGAUGUGACAACACAAUAUUUUAAAUGUGACAACACAACAUUUAAAAUGUGAUGUCUCUGAUUUAGAGAGGUAUAACUAUUGAAUGAGAAUAAUUAUACUGAAAACUCAAGACAUUACAGACCAAUAAUUUUCUGUUUAUACUUGAACAUAAGUAUUCACUCCCCUUGGACUUCAAUGAGUUGUAAACAUAGUUGACUGGAGAGUGACCUGGAUGUGAACAUAAUUGACUGGAGAGUGACCUGGAUGUGAACAUAGUUGACUGGAGAGUGACCUGGAUGUGAACAUGGUUGACUGGAGAGUGACCUGGAUGUGAACAUAGUUGACUGGAGAGUGACCUGAAUGUGAACAUAGUUGACUGGAGAGUGACCUGGAUGUGAACAUAGUUGACUGGAGAGUGACCUGGAUGUGAACAUAGUUGACUGGAGAGUGACCUGGAUGUGAACAUAGUUGACUGGAGAGUGACCUGGAUGUGAACAUAGUUGACUGGAGAGUGACCUGGAUGUGAACAUAGUUGACUGGAGAGUGACCUUACCCCUUGUGAAUGUCACCAGGACGACCAACCCUCGUCUGUUGUUCAGAAGUUAACAGAGAGGAUAAUGUGAUGGAAAUUUCAUGUAUCGACACUCUUAAAGAAGUAAGAAACAGAGACAAAGUUCUCUUGGCACAUUCUAAUAGUUUUAUUAACUAUUAUACAAAAUCAACAUUGAUUUUGUAUAAUAAUUAAUAAUCCUCUGAUAUUAUACAGACAUGUGUGUCACAAUCAAAGUACAGAUUUAUAUAUCAGCCAAUGGAAAGACGGACAUUUCUCAAAUGCACCUUAGUUCAAAAUUUCCAUAACAAUAACUGGAGACUUUGAUCCUAAGAAAUAAAAGACUGAUGCCAUAUGGAACACUUUAACAAAGAUCUUGUUUGAUCUUAGCUGAACAAAGACACCAAAUGUAGACUAGUUCAACAUGAUCAUUCUCCCAUUUAGAAGUAAAUCUACUGCAACCAGAGAGUAUUCAGAAUGUACCGAUUCCAAAACUGAGCCUACGCCAGACAACACAACAAUGAAUCAAUGUAGUAAUCUCCAUUUAUUAAAAAUACUUAAACAAUAUUUAUACAUCAGUAUUCAUAAACAUAAACAAUUCCUCGAUAUUACAAAUAUAAUUACAUGACCCUUAAACUGUAUCAGAACAGUCAACAUUAUGACUAUUUAACUAGUAAAACAACUGUUAAAAAACAGUACAUUGUAUCAAUCAAUCACAUUUAUUUAUAAAGCCCUUUUUACAUCAGCAGUUGUCACAAAGUGCUUUUACAAAACACUCGGCCUUAAACCCCAAGGAGCAAACAACAGUAGUGUUGAGCAAAUCUAAAUAUCUAAAUUCAUGAGGAAUAUCUACUUAGUUUCAAAGUGGACUUGCCAAAAUCUGAAAGUUGUCAAUAAGUUUUCUAAACACGUUACAUGCUAAUAAUCAGCAUUAUUGUUUCUCAGUUUAUAUUUUUAUUUUAACCUUUAUUCAUAUUAGCAAGAUCUGAUGAUGUUUCACCAGAUCUCAAACCUCUUGUCUGUCAGGAAGGGCCUUCUGUCCUUGAUUCUGUUGUUGUAGAGCCUGUAGAGAAAAACUCUGUUGUUGCUGUUGUGUCUUAAGAAAUGUCCCAACAUUAUAAUUAUUAUUGUUGUUACCAUUCUGAUUAAACACUUUUCAGAAUCUUGACAGUUUCAACGUGUUUCCACAAAACCCUUCAUAUGUAGUUUCUUCUUUGAAAUUAAAUGUCUGAUCCUCCUUGAUGACCUGGCAGGAUUCACAUGCAACUGGGUCAUCAAGAAGAAACCAAAAAUGAAGUGGCAUAUGCCACCCCGUUGACUACAUUAAAACGGCACUGCCCAUUGGCAUAUGGAAUGAUGGGAAAUAUACAGAGAUUCAUCUUCUCAGCACCACCUUCCUAGGUGUCGAGGUGCCACAUUUUCAAUCGAGGCCCCCUGGGUUCUGCAAGUAACAGUCUCACGUAUGACACUCAAAUUACCCACGACUGACGGCCACUAUCCUGCGUGGUACGACUCCAACACGUCGGUGGACAUUCAAACCUCAGGAAACUCCUUGCUGCUAUUCCUGCAUUCCAGUUGCACAUGCACCUUCAAUUAGCCUUUUUGCACAUUUAAAAUUGUCAUUUGUACUUGCAUUUGCCUUCAUUGCACAUCUAUACAUCCUAAUUGUAAUAUAUACUAUACUUCAUACUUGUAAAGACUUGAACAUUUCUGCCCUCUUCUAUUUGCACUUCUGGAUAGAUGUUAACUGCAUUUCAUCGUACUGUACUUGUACUGCUGAAUGACAAUAAAGUUUAAUCUAAUCUAUUCUCUCUUUUGUAACACAAACCUGCCCUAAAUGGGGAGGGACUUGAACUGUCCAAUAGAAACUUCCCAUUUUCCUCUGAAAUGUUUACCUACUGAAUACACUAAUAAACACCCCCAGAUCCGAUCAGAGUUUUACCUCAAAGUGAAGCACCAUCUUAAACCUUAAAUACCCUUCUAAUAGUGAACCCACAGUAAAACACAAUGUUGUUUUAACAAAUAAAGGGUGUUCAUACACUUAUUAAAACACACUUACCGUACAGUGUGUAUUGAGGGGUUGGUAGAGACCAGUUGGACUAUUCUCUCAGUCACAGCAUCAGUGAUGUCAUUAUGACUCAGGCUGAGA